AGUGAACGCUGGCGGUAGGCCUAACACAUGCAAGUCGAACGGCAGCACAGUAAGAGCUUGCUCUUACGGGUGGCGGGUGGCGGACGGGUGAGGAAUACAUCGGAAUCUACUUUUUCGUGGGGGAUAACGUAGGGAAACUUACGCUAAUACCGCAUACGACCUACGGGUGAAAGCAGGGGAUCUUCGGACCUUGCGCGAUUGAAUGAGCCGAUGUCGGAUUAGCUAGUUGGCGGGGUAACGGCCCACCAAGGCAACGAUCCGUAGCUGGUCUGAGAGGAUGAUCAGCCACACUGGAACUGAGACACGGUCCAGACUCCUACGGGAGGCAGCAGUGGGGAAUAUUGGACAAUGGGCGCAAGCCUGACCCAGCCACACCGCGUGGGUGAAGAAGGUCUUCGGGUCGUAAAGCCCUUUUGUUGGGAAAGAAAAGCAGCAGGUUAAUACCCCGCUGUUCUGACGGUACCUAAAGAAUAAGCACCGGCUAACUUCGUG
This 492-nucleotide ribosomal RNA is filed under the name uncultured bacterium. RNAcentral's name for it is "partial 16S ribosomal RNA". It matches the Rfam family "Bacterial small subunit ribosomal RNA", at positions 29 to 507 of the family's 1533-position model. The record is from RNAcentral.